Tulasnella sp. 419 is the source of this 71-nucleotide non-coding RNA. The record is from the annotation of a GenBank genome assembly. Lineage: Eukaryota; Fungi; Basidiomycota; Agaricomycetes; Cantharellales; Tulasnellaceae.
UUUCUUUUAGCUUAAUGGCAGAGCAACAUUUUUCUAAAUUGUCGGUCAAGGUUCGAUUCCUUGAAAGAAAU